CAAUAGCGUAUAUUAAAGUUGUUGCAGUUAAAAAGCUCGUAGUUGGAUUUGUGGCGUACGGUGUGUUCCGGGCACUUGUUGUCUGAGUAACCUGCUGUUGCCAUCCUUGGGUGGAACCUGUGUGGCAUUAGGUUGUCGUGCAGGGGAUGCCCAUCAUUUACUGUGAAAAAAUUAGAGUGUUCAAAGCAGGCUUAUGCCGUUGAAUAUAUUAGCAUGGAAUAAUGAGAUAGGACUUUUUUGCUAUUUUGUUGGUUUGCGCAAAGAGGUAAUGAUUAAUAGGGACAGUUGGGGGUAUUCGUAUUCCAUUGUCAGAGGUGAAAUUCUUGGAUUUUCGGAAGACGAACUACUGCGAAAGCAUUUACCAAGGAUGUUUUCAUUAA
This 380-nucleotide ribosomal RNA is filed under the name uncultured eukaryote. RNAcentral's name for it is "partial 18S ribosomal RNA". It matches the Rfam family "Eukaryotic small subunit ribosomal RNA", at positions 592 to 976 of the family's 1831-position model. The record is from RNAcentral.